This 1586-nucleotide long non-coding RNA is filed under the name Gossypium barbadense (sea-island cotton). Its description in RNAcentral is "long non-coding RNA (GBAR_LNC005218)". Lineage: Eukaryota; Viridiplantae; Streptophyta; Magnoliopsida; Malvales; Malvaceae. The record is from RNAcentral.
CGAAAUCAUAUUUUCUGACACCAUUGGAAUUCAAGUCAUUACAAUGGAUAUGACAUCAUUCACUCUUGCCUCACUCUAUUGCCAUCCUCAUCAGUCAUACCAUGUGCAUAUACUUUGUGUGAGUUUGUUCCGGUUCUUCGUCCAUUGUGUUUUAUACUGAUUUAAUUUUAUGUUGUAAUUUAUCUAACAUAUAUUUUUAUUUGUAUUAUGCUUAUAAAUACUAAAUUUCUUUUUUGAAAAUUCCAACUUAUGCCAUAAAUGCUUGGAGACAAAACUAGUUACAUCUUUACCACAUGUAUGCUGCUCAACUAAAGGCCAGAAAACGGUGCAUAGGGAAUCAUAAAAACAGCCUAAAAAUUUUAAAACAAAACAAGUCCUAACAAACAAAAACAGUAACUACAGCAAAGCAAGUAAAAAACGGAAAAUGAAACGUCCCCAGAUCUGAAAAUCCCUUCAUCUCCAAAAGCCUUCCAACCCUCCCCUGUGCAUCAGUAGACAUAGAGGCCACCAGAUCCUUACAUCAUAUUAGGCUCAUCACACUAGUAAUCAGCCUCUUCAUCAAGUUGUAAUAGCCAAUUUUGGCCCAAAAAAACUCAAUUCAAUAAAGCAAAAUAAAACCCAAACAUAAAUAACAAAUGGCCCAAUACCAAACCCAAGUUACCUAACCCAACAACCCAAAUGAAACCCUAGCCCAUUACAAAGAAAAGAAAACAGCAACAGCCAGCCCCCAAGCAUGCUACUGCCAAACUUUUCACCUCCCAUCGGCCACCACGCCUCUGUCAUGGCCGCUUCACACGCCUCUGAGGGCCGUCUGACACCUGCAACAAAUUAAAUGCAACACAAGCAGCAGAAGAAACCAAACAAAAAAUGACAAAAAAAAAGAUGAAAUGAAUAGCCAUCUUAAUCGGCUAUAAGAGCCCGAUUCUUCUCAUUGGUAUUUUUUUUACGAAUAUUAAUGAAUAAAAAAGCAAAAAACAGAAGAAAAAAAAAGGUUAAUCUUGACUUCCAUUUCUCUUGUUCUUUACGAUUUUCCUUUUUAUUUUCGUGAUUUUUAUUAUUAUUUAUAAAUUGGUUUUAAAAUAAAAGAACAAAAAGGAGAAGCUUACCUGAAAUUCCCCACGGUCGUGACAUCGGAGAGCCCUUCUCCGUCACCGAGGUCGGGCUCAAAAAGGGGGCUGAGAGUCUCAUCUUUUCCGCAUCUUCGGGUGUUGGUAGUAUCGGCCUUCAGAGGCGCUCCAAAACGGAGCUAAGCGAGCCCAUUUCCUGCAGCGCCAGCCAUUGGCCAUGGCGGCGGUAGGGUGAGCCUCCGGGGAACUCGAUCGUUGGAGAGGAAAAGGGGGGAAGAAGGAGUUUUGUGUUCUUCUUUUUCUUGGAAACUAAAAGAGGAACCAGCAGAAUAAAAAGGAAGGAAUUUUUUUUUGUUUUAAAUCAUUUGAAACGGCGCCGUUUGUUGGGGUGGGGGGGUUUGUGCAUUCUCCCUAAAGGGGAGAUUUGUGCGAUUGGUCCUCCUUCGCAACCCCAUUCAUUCAGGCCCCAUUUUGUCUUCUUUUGUUUUUUAAAUUUAGCCCUCAAUCUUGUUUGGUCUU